UACGAGGGGUGCAAGCGUUAUUCGGAUUGAUUGGGUGUAAAGGGUGUGCAGACGGCUUACUAAGUCACUUGUUAAAUUCCUCGGCCUAACUGAGGAUCUGCAGGUGAUACUGGAAAGCUAGAGGGUGGAAGAGAGAAGUGGAAUUCUCGGAGUAGCGGUAAAAUGCGUAGAUCUCGAGAGGAACACCAAUGGCGAAGGCAGCUUCUUGGUCCAUUCCUGACGUUCAUACACGAAAGCGUGGGGAGCAAACAGG
RNAcentral lists this ribosomal RNA (253 nucleotides) under uncultured bacterium. Its description in RNAcentral is "partial 16S ribosomal RNA". It matches the Rfam family "Bacterial small subunit ribosomal RNA", at positions 524 to 776 of the family's 1533-position model. The record is from RNAcentral.